GACGAACGCUGGCGGCGUGCUUAACACAUGCCAGUCGAACGGAAAGGCCCUGCUUUUGUGGGGUGCUCGAGUGGCGAACGGGUGAGUAACACGUGAGUAACCUGCCCUUGACUUUGGGAUAACUUCAGGAAACUGGGGCUAAUACCGGAUAGGAGCUCCUGCUGCAUGGUGGGGGUUGGAAAGUUUCGGCGGUUGGGGAUGGACUCGCGGCUUAUCAGCUUGUUGGUGGGGUAGUGGCUUACCAAGGCUUUGACGGGUAGCCGGCCUGAGAGGGUGACCGGCCACAUUGGGACUGAGAUACGGCCCAGACGCCUACGGGAGGCAGCAGGGGGGAAUAUUGCACAAUGGGCGGAAGCCUGAUGCAGAAACGCCGCGUGCGGGAUGACGGCCUUCGGGUUGUAAACCGCUUUCGCCUGUGACGAAGCGUGAGUGACGGUAAUGGGUAAAGAAGCACCGGCUAACUACGUG
Molecule: ribosomal RNA, 468 nt
Filed under: uncultured bacterium
Lineage: Bacteria
Description: partial 16S ribosomal RNA
Rfam family: Bacterial small subunit ribosomal RNA
Source: RNAcentral